GAUGAACGCUGGCGGCGUGCCUAAUACAUGCAAGUCGAGCGAACAGACGAGGAGCUUGCUCCUCUGACGUUAGCGGCGGACGGGUGAGUAACACGUGGAUAACCUACCUAUAAGACUGGGAUAACUUCGGGAAACCGGAGCUAAUACCGGAUAAUAUAUUGAACCGCAUGGUUCAAUAGUGAAAGUCGGUUUUGCUGUCUCGUAUCGAUGGAUAGCAGCCGGUUUAGGGAGUUGGGACGGUCACGGCUUACCAAGGCGAGUAGGCGUAGCCGAGCUGAGGGGGUGAUCGCCCACACUGGAGCGGGGACGCGGACCAUGCGCCUACGGGAGGCAGCAGACGGGAAUCUUCCGCAGUGGGCGAGAGCCUGACGGAGCAGCGCCGCGUGAGUGGUAAAGGUCUUCGGAGCGUAAAGCUCUGUUAUUAGGGAAGAACAAAUGUGUAAGUAACUAUGCACGUCUUGACGGUACCUAAUCAGAAAGCCACGGCUAACUACGUG
Molecule: ribosomal RNA, 497 nt
Filed under: uncultured bacterium
Lineage: Bacteria
Description: partial 16S ribosomal RNA
Rfam family: Bacterial small subunit ribosomal RNA
Source: RNAcentral